UAGGGAAUCUUCCACAAUGGACGCAAGUCUGAUGGAGCAACGCCGCGUGAGUGAAGAAGGUUUUCGGACCGUAAAGCUCUGUUGUUGGUGAAGAAGGAUAGAGGUAGUAACUGGCCUUUAUUUGACGGUAAUCAACCAGAAAGUCACGGCUAACUACGUGCCAGCAGCCGCGGUAAUACGUAGGUGGCAAGCGUUGUCCGGAUUUAUUGGGCGUAAAAGCGAGCGCAGGCGGAAGAAUAAGUCUGAUGUGAAAGCCCUCGGCUUAACCGAGGAAAU
Molecule: ribosomal RNA, 276 nt
Filed under: uncultured bacterium
Lineage: Bacteria
Description: partial 16S ribosomal RNA
Rfam family: Bacterial small subunit ribosomal RNA
Source: RNAcentral